This 460-nucleotide ribosomal RNA is filed under the name uncultured bacterium. RNAcentral describes it as "partial 16S ribosomal RNA". It matches the Rfam family "Bacterial small subunit ribosomal RNA", at positions 338 to 795 of the family's 1533-position model. The record is from RNAcentral.
CCUACGGGGGGCUGCAGUGAGGAAUAUUCGUCAAUGGACGAGAGUCUGAACCAGCCAAGUAGCGUGAAGGAUGACUGCCCUAUGGGUUGUAAACUUCUUUUAUAUGGGAAUAAAACGUUCCACGUGUGGGAUUUUGUAUGUACCAUAUGAAUAAGGAACGGCUAACUCCGUGCCAGCAGCCGCGGUAAUACGGAGGAUCCGAGCGUUAUCCGGAUUUAUUGGGUUUAACGGGAGCGUAGGUGGAUUGUUAAGUCAGUUGUGAAAGUUUGCGGCUCAACCGUAAAAUUGCAGUUGAAACUGGCAGUCUUGAGUACAGUAGAGGUGAGCGGAAUUCGUGGUGUAGCGGUGAAAUGCUUAGAUAUCACGAAGAACUCCGAUUGCGAAGGCAGUUCACUGGACUGCAACUGACACUGAGGCUCGAAAGUGUGGGUAUCAAACAGGAUUAGAUACCCCUGUAGUC